GAUGAACGCUGGCGGCGUGCUUAACACAUGCAAGUCGAACGAAGCACUUUAUUUGAUUUCCUUCGGGACUGAUUAUUUUGUGACUGAGUGGCGGACGGGUGAGUAACGCGUGGGUAACCUGCCUUGUACAGGGGGAUAACAGUUGGAAACGGCUGCUAAUACCGCAUAAGCGCACAGCAUCGCAUGAUGCAGUGUGAAAAACUCCGGUGGUAUAAGAUGGACCCGCGUUGGAUUAGCUAGUUGGUGAGGUAACGGCCCACCAAGGCGACGAUCCAUAGCCGAGCUGAGAGGGUGACCGGCCACAUUGGGACUGAGACACGGCCCAAACUCCUACGGGAGGCAGCAGUGGGGAAUAUUGCACAAUGGGCGAAAGCCUGAUGCAGCGACGCCGCGUGAGCGAAGAAGUAUUUCGGUAUGUAAAGCUCUAUCAGCAGGGAAGAUAAUGACGGUACCUGACGAAGAAGCACCGGCUAAAUACGUG
This 481-nucleotide ribosomal RNA is filed under the name uncultured bacterium. RNAcentral describes it as "partial 16S ribosomal RNA". It matches the Rfam family "Bacterial small subunit ribosomal RNA", at positions 28 to 507 of the family's 1533-position model. The record is from RNAcentral.